Molecule: long non-coding RNA, 1492 nt
Filed under: Sus scrofa (pig)
Lineage: Eukaryota; Metazoa; Chordata; Mammalia; Artiodactyla; Suidae
Description: lncRNA (ENSSSCG00015042169.1)
Source: RNAcentral
AUGAAUAUCUUAAAUAUAGUGAAAUGUUCUGUUUCCCACAAAAAGGCCCUAAGAGAGAUCUACGCCCUUGGCCACCAGAGUCUCCAGUCUUGUCACCCAACCAGAUGUAAGAAAUUUGAAGAAAAAACUGAAGUUACUCAAUUCUCCACGGUCCUCUCUUUGCUCACCUUACAGCUCAGCCUCUCUGAACAGAAGGCUGACGUCAUUCCUGUGGUAUGUGCGUUUCAAUCCUUUUUCCUGUCCUUUUCCAUCUUCACUAAAACAUCCUUCCCUUGGGUUUCUUUCUUUCUCAUUCUCUUGCUCUCAUUCUCAGUCUCCUGUUCACUCUUGCUCUUUCUUCCUAUAAACAACAAUAUAAAUGACCACUUAGCUGGAGCUGCAUAGCGUAUUCUUGGUCUUUAUGGGGACAGCAUGCUCCAUAAUGAAUCGCCUUUGUGGAAAAGUGCAAUCCCUGUAAUUAGGAGCACUUUGACAGAGAACUCAGGCUCUAUAACUCAGGGAAUCACAAGCGUUUCUGCUCUGGCAAAGUUCAGUUUAAUGCAAAAGAAACAUGUGUUUCCUGUCCCUUAUUCUAAAUCGAUUGAGCCAUUCGUCUAAUUUAAACACUCUGUAAAUUACAUACAUCUUCCAAAGAUAGGAGUGAGGUCGACAUACUUGAUAUAUGCUUUUUCAUAUGGCUUGAAUCCAUCACUGCCUUCCACAAGGCCCCUUAGCUUUAUCCUGAGUGGAUGGAGGCCCCAUAAUUCUCUGAUCUACUCCAUUUUCUCUGACACCCCUUAGGAUCCUUGUUCAGACAAUUUGGCCAAAGAAUCACGGCUGACUUUCAGAAGGCAUGGAUUGAAGGCUAACCCGGCCCAGCAUCCCUUCCUAUCUUAUAUUUUAUUAGCACAACAAUCAAACCCUCUUCAAUUUGUCUUCUCAUUCUGUCCAUUAUUAUAAGAGACUUGAUGAGGGAAAAGUCAAGGAAAGUAGAUUGGAUAUGGAUGUUCUGACAUGCAGUUAUGCACCGUUUAGCACAACUGAAUUUUAGAAGAAAAAGAAAAAAAAAAAAAAAAAAAUACCUCUUCUUUCAAUUAUUCAGUUUCACUGGCAUCUGAGCCUUCAAGAAGAGUUAAGACUCUUCCAAAUUCUCUUUGGAUUUUAGCAUCUCCAGCUGCAGGUUCCCUCGACUUCUCAGUUCUUGUUAAGGAAACUGUGGUCUAGCUAUCACUGAGACUCCCUCUCAUUAUAAAUCAGCGAAAAUUCAUUUCAUUUUAGUUUUUUUUUUUUUAGAGCUGAUCUUUGUUCUCAUGCCCAUCCAUUACACAAUAUAUUAAAAGGAUAUACAAACAGGAAGAGAAAUAAGAGCUCAGAGAAUUCAAGCCCCUUAUUUUGUAAAUACACUGAAAACAGGCAACUGAUAUAUAGAUAGAACUAAAAUUCUUGAAUAUUUGUUCCUUUUCUAGGUGUUAGAAAAUAUAAUAAAAUCACAAAUAAGACAAGCCUAUAAUCA